GGUGCUAAUACCGCAUAACCAUAGUUACCGCAUGGUAGCUAUGUAAAAGGUGGCUAUGCUACCGCUUUUGGAUGGGCCCGCGGCGCAUUAGCUAGUUGGUGGGGUAAAGGCUUACCAAGGCAAUGAUGCGUAGCCGAACUGAGAGGUUGAUCGGCCACAUUGGGACUGAGACACGGCCCAAACUCCUACGGGAGGCAGCAGUAGGGAAUCUUCCACAAUGGGCGAAAGCCUGAUGGAGCAACGCCGCGUGGGUGAAGAAGGUCUUCGGAUCGUAAAACCCUGUUGUUAGAGAAGAAAGUGCGUGAGAGUAACUGUUCACGUUUCGACGGUAUCUAACCAGAAAGCCACGGCUAACUACGUGCCAGCAGCCGCGGUAAUACGUAGGUGGCAAGCGUUAUCCGGAUUUAUUGGGCGUAAAGGGAACGCAGGCGGUCUUUUAAGUCUGAUGUGAAAGCCUUCGGCUUAACCGGAGUAGUGCAUUGGAAACUGGGAGACUUGAGUGCAGAAGAGGAGAGUGGAACUCCAUGUGUAGCGGUGAAAUGCGUAGAUAUAUGGAAGGACACCAGUGGCGAAAGCGGCUCUCUGGUCUGUAACUGACGCUGAGGUUCGAAAGCGUGGGUAGCAAACAGGAUUAGAUACCCUGGUAGUCCACGCCGUAAACGA
This 663-nucleotide ribosomal RNA is filed under the name uncultured bacterium. RNAcentral describes it as "bacterial SSU rRNA". It matches the Rfam family "Bacterial small subunit ribosomal RNA", at positions 159 to 809 of the family's 1533-position model. The record is from RNAcentral.